Molecule: ribosomal RNA, 333 nt
Filed under: Triticum aestivum (bread wheat)
Lineage: Eukaryota; Viridiplantae; Streptophyta; Magnoliopsida; Poales; Poaceae
Description: partial small subunit ribosomal RNA
Source: RNAcentral
AUGGGAAGUAGUGCAAAAAAUUCCUUAGGAAAAAAUCCUAUAGGAUUCAAUCCUAUGAAUCAAACAACCAAUAUAGGAAAAAUUCCUAAGGAUUCCAAUCCUCCAAAAUUCCUAUGCAAAUCCUUUGAAUCAAAGGAACCCUUAGUCUGUAUUCCGGAAGUCUUUGUUUUCCUCACAGAUAGUUGUGUUCAUCAAGAGAACAAAAUGCACAUAAAUUGGUGUCACUUUUGGGAUAGUUGUGUUCAUCAAGAGAACAAAAUGCACAUAGACUGGUGUCACUUUUGGGCGACAGCUGCUGCUACAGGGGCCUACGGCGGUGGGCCUAGUCCAUAG